CAAGCACGACGCAACCUGCUUCCGGACAUGUGCUGUAAGCGGUACUAUUAGUGCGAUAUGAACGUGUGGGCCCUCCGUGUGCGUGUGACUUCAUUGUGCUAGCACUCCGUUGGUCACCAGACAAUU
This 126-nucleotide small nucleolar RNA is filed under the name Caenorhabditis japonica. RNAcentral describes it as "snoRNA CJA48591". It matches the Rfam family "Caenorhabditis snoRNA ceN46". The record is from Rfam by way of RNAcentral. Lineage: Eukaryota; Metazoa; Nematoda; Chromadorea; Rhabditida; Rhabditidae.